AUUGAACGCUGGCGGCAGGCCUAACACAUGCAAGUCGAACGGUAACAGGAAGAAGCUUGCUUCUUUGCUGACGAGUGGCGGACGGGUGAGUAAUGUCUGGGAAACUGCCUUAUGGAGGGGGAUAACUACUGGAAACGGUAGCUAAUACCGCAUAACGUCGCAAGACCAAAGAGGGGGACCUUCGGGCCUCUUGCCAUCGGAUGUGCCCAGAUGGGAUUAGCUAGUAGGUGGGGUAACGGCUCACCUAGGCGACGAUCCCUAGCUGGUCUGAGAGGAUGACCAGCCACACUGGAACUGAGACACGGUCCAGACUCCUACGGGAGGCAGCAGUGGGGAAUAUUGCACAAUGGGCGCAAGCCUGAUGCAGCCAUGCCGCGUGUAUGAAGAAGGCCUUCGGGUUGUAAAGUACUUCCAGCGGGGAGGAAGGGAGUAAAGUUAAUACCUUUGCUCAUUGACGUUACCCGCAGAAGAAGCACCGGCUAACUCCGUG
This 490-nucleotide ribosomal RNA is filed under the name uncultured bacterium. RNAcentral describes it as "partial 16S ribosomal RNA". It matches the Rfam family "Bacterial small subunit ribosomal RNA", at positions 30 to 507 of the family's 1533-position model. The record is from RNAcentral.